GGGCCUGUGGCGGAAUUGGCAGACGCAGCGGACUUAAAAUCCGCUUCGGGGUAACCCGAGUGAGGGUUCGAAUCCCUCUGGGCCCA
This 86-nucleotide transfer RNA is filed under the name Planctomycetota bacterium. RNAcentral's name for it is "tRNA-Leu". It matches the Rfam family "tRNA". Rfam says of the family: Transfer RNA (tRNA) molecules are approximately 80 nucleotides in length. Their secondary structure includes four short double-helical elements and three loops (D, anti-codon, and T loops). Lineage: Bacteria; Pseudomonadati; Planctomycetota. RNAcentral also lists the same sequence under 1 other name. The record is from RNAcentral.